AUCUCAGAGGAUGUGGGCCAGAGCAGUGUGGAUGGAAGAGGAAGUAGGUGUUACUCCAGAGCACUGGAUCAAAGACCAAACUGUGUGAUGUCUCCAAAAUAAAUAUGAAAACAAUAAAGGAUUUGUCCACACCCUCUCUGAAAUGGAAGUCAUUCAAGCUUCUGUCGUUACAACUGACAUCAGGCAACCCAAGCUCCAACCACAAUAUGCCUGAAGCACCAGGAAACCUGUGCCACCGCUACCAAGAAGCAAAAGGCUAAAACGCAGCAAAAGCCAUCAACUAAUGACGAAAACCUGUGCCGGUGCCACUAACAAGCAAAAGGCGAAAACUCCCUGCAAGCCACCAGGUAUUGGUGGUGAGUGGAAAUAGCAAACUAAAAUGCUACGAAAGCCACCAAGUAGUUAUAGAGAAUCUUGAUCCUUCAUUCUCCAGGGAUCAUUCAUGUGGGAGACAGCGGUCUCCUUCUGCUUCUUCAGAUGAGAGAUGCCCCUCACCAAAGCGCUGCAAAAGCUCAGACCCUUUUCCUAUGCCGGAAAAUUUUGAAAAAAAGAGUCCUAUAUCUCGUUUGUGACAUCUGUGACGGGAAGAUUAUUAAAGAUGGAAGAGCAGCUAAUGAAGAAUGAUUUAAAAAUAUAUGAUCUCUCAAAGCUGGGGGGGAGACAUCCCAGACUGGGUGAAGAGAGCAAUGCACCAGUAAACUAUUACCAUAUGUUUCGCUUUUAAGUGAGGUCAUGGUGUGUUGCUUGUAAAGUAUAUAUUUUGUGUUCUGACAAACGGCCUCAUGUCAACGUUCAAUAUGAAUGGAAAUAGAGGGCCUUCGACGACUCCAAUUUUUACAUUGUCAUUAUAGGUACAGUGGAGUCCAAGUCAUGACAUUUGGAUAACUUCUCUAGCUUAUGUUUGUUUUCCACCUUUACACCACGUGUGAGUCUUGGCUAAUCAAAGGCUAGUGGCAGAAAUACUACAGGCGACUUCAACCUCCCUGAAAUAUGUACCUUACCACAAGGGGGGUAAGUGGGAGUGCUAAUGAGUAAGGGGUUGAAAGAGUUCUUAAGAAGUUAAAAGCAUUAAAGGUCAGACUGUGCCUGUUUUUGGUUUAUUGUGUGUGUAUAUAUAUAUAUAUAUAUAUAUAUAAUUUGAAUUUCCAGAAGCCUGUGCCAGAAAUAAUUUGUUGAGCUUUUUUAUUUGAAAAAAAGUGGCUUGUACAUCUGUUUUGGGGUGCAAUAAAUUGAUUUAAA
Long non-coding RNA from Oncorhynchus tshawytscha (Chinook salmon), 1239 nucleotides. RefSeq lists it as uncharacterized. Lineage: Eukaryota; Metazoa; Chordata; Actinopteri; Salmoniformes; Salmonidae. The record is from RefSeq and is a predicted model, not a curated record. The transcript has 6 exons.